Molecule: long non-coding RNA, 723 nt
Organism: Hevea brasiliensis (rubber tree)
Lineage: Eukaryota; Viridiplantae; Streptophyta; Magnoliopsida; Malpighiales; Euphorbiaceae
Exons: 2
Source: RefSeq, a predicted model, not a curated record
UGUUAAAUGUCAUAUCGUUUCUAAGCUAUUGAAUGUCGACAACGAAAACGAAAUGGAAAUAAAUAUCUCUAGCAUUAAUUGAACAAAAUUCCUUUCUUAUUGUGCUGGAAUUACAAUGGCAUAAUAUAUGGCCUCUCUGUGUGGCUAUUCUAUCUUGAAACCCUUGUGGUUAGGCGUUUGUCUCGCUGAUAAUAUCUGGCCUCACAACCCACAAGAAUGCCGAUUCUUGAAGUUGGGUUUCAUCAAAAACAGUAAAGCUGCCAAAUGCAACAUAAAUGACUGAUUUGGGUGGUUGUUGGUCUAGCCAUUUCAUGCAAGUUGAAAUUGGUAUAAUCUCUGAGGUCAAUGUGAAUGGCAAUGCUCCAGGCUCAAGAUCAUAUGCUGAGUUACAAAUUUUCCGGUCUGCCAUUUUCGUAAUCUUGAUGGUUUUAAACGCAUUGCUGGAGUCAACUGAAUCAUUUGGUUCUUCAGCGAGUUCCUUAACAGAGUGAAAAUUUAUAAAGAACUGCACGUCUUCCCAGUGAACUUUUAAUCCUACUUUACAAGGUCUAAUGUGGAAAUGCCAAAAUAUGCUGUGUUUAGUUAAUCAUCAGAGUACGUUCAUUUAUCACUUCCAAGAAUCCUAUUUUGCACGCCAUUUGUUUGAGUAAUGUACGGUGAAUAAUUUGUGGAUCAUUUUUGUAAGUUAUCCCUAAAAACAUCAAGGUUAUUUCUGUUUGUGUC